Molecule: ribosomal RNA, 497 nt
Filed under: uncultured bacterium
Lineage: Bacteria
Description: partial 16S ribosomal RNA
Rfam family: Bacterial small subunit ribosomal RNA
Source: RNAcentral
GAUGAACGCUGGCGGCGUGCCUAAUACAUGCCAGUCGAGCGAACAGACGAGGAGCUUGCUCCUCUGACGUUAGCGGCGGACGGGUGAGUAACACGUGGAUAACCUACCUAUAAGACUGGGAUAACUUCGGGAAACCGGAGCUAAUACCGGAUAAUAUAUUGAACCGCAUGGUUCAAUAGUGAAAGACGGUUUUGCUGUCACUUAUAGAUGGAUCCGCGCCGCAUUAGCUAGUUGGUAAGGUAACGGCUUACCAAGGCAACGAUGCGUAGCCGACCUGAGAGGGUGAUCGGCCACACUGGAACUGAGACACGGUCCAGACUCCUACGGGAAGCAGCAGUAGGGAAUCUUCCGCAAUGGGCGAAAGCCUGACGGAGCAACGCCGCGUGUGUGAUGAAGGUCUUCGGAUCGUAAAACUCUGUUAUUAGGGAAGAACAAAUGUGUAAGUAACUAUGCACGUCUUGACGGUACCUAAUCAGAAAGCCACGGCUAACUACGUG